Molecule: ribosomal RNA, 253 nt
Filed under: uncultured bacterium
Lineage: Bacteria
Description: partial 16S ribosomal RNA
Rfam family: Bacterial small subunit ribosomal RNA
Source: RNAcentral
UACGGAGGAUCCAAGCGUUGUCCGGAUUCAUUGGGUUUAAAGGGUGCGUAGGCGGGGCAUUAAGUCAGAGGUGAAAUCUUGCGGCUCAACCGUAAAAUUGCCUUUGAAACUGGUAUCCUUGAGUUCGGUUGAGGUGGAUGGAAUGUGUCAUGUAGCGGUGAAAUGCUUAGAUAUGACACAGAACACCAAUUGCGAAGGCAGUCCACUAAGCCGACACUGACGCUGAGGCACGAAAGCGUGGGGAGCGAACAGG